RNAcentral lists this transfer RNA (76 nucleotides) under Rhodospirillaceae bacterium. Its description in RNAcentral is "tRNA-Thr". It matches the Rfam family "tRNA". From Rfam's summary of the family: Transfer RNA (tRNA) molecules are approximately 80 nucleotides in length. The record is from RNAcentral. Lineage: Bacteria; Pseudomonadati; Pseudomonadota; Alphaproteobacteria; Rhodospirillales; Rhodospirillaceae. RNAcentral also lists the same sequence under 2 other names.
GCCGGGUUAGCUCAGUUGGUAGAGCAAUUGAUUUGUAAUCAAUGGGUCGCGGGUUCGAAUCCUGCACCCGGCACCA